This 2560-nucleotide long non-coding RNA is filed under the name Theobroma cacao (cacao). RNAcentral's name for it is "long non-coding RNA (TCAC_LNC002132)". Lineage: Eukaryota; Viridiplantae; Streptophyta; Magnoliopsida; Malvales; Malvaceae. The record is from RNAcentral.
UGAAAAGAAUGUUUUUGAUUGCACAAAAUAUUACUAUGGAUUGAGGAAAAACCAUCCAUUCAGUUCAUCUAACAUCUUAACAUAUAAAAAUUUAAAUAUAUAUAUAUAUAAUAUCCAUUAUUGGUAUGACAACCUUUAUAACUGACCAGUAUGUAUAAAAAGUAGUAAAUAAACACCAUAAAACAACUUUGUAUGCAUAGCUAACAAAUGGAAGGCAAACUUCGACUAUUGGAAGAUUCACAAAGUGCUUGGACCUGGUUCUCGAAUUAUUCACCUUUAACUCUGAAUUGGCAGGCAUGGAGACCUGGCAAAUUUAGAUGCAGAAAAACAAAGUGAAUCUAACCAUUUUUUCUAUAACAGGCCUCGAAGAAAGGAACUUUAACGAAGUUCCAAGUAGACUUACUCUCUGCAUAUUAUCUGUCAACAGCUUCAGUGGAUCAUAGCAGCUUAAAAGGAUGCUGCAGUCAAUUCGAAUAACAGCUAAAACAGGAAUUUACCUUCAACUAAACCCAAAAUUCUAUCAAACCAUUAAGGGAACAUCCUCUGUAUUCUGACAUGGCAUGAUGUAUUAGAAGACAGAAGAAAAUCAGAUAUGUUUAUAUCAGCAAAAGAUAUUUAGUAUAAAAUAAUACUAUGCUACUGCAGUCCCCUGAAGCAGAGCCACACAGGAAAUAUCUAUUGUAAUAUAUGCAGGUGACAUACUAUAAAAAAACACAAUGAUUGAAGACAGUUGGAAAGACAAUAGCAACCAAUAACUAAUUAAGAAGAAUAUAGUCAGAACAAAAUUUAGUACUAGUAUUUCAUAAUAUUUAUGAACCCCAAAGCAUCAAUGCCAACAGGUUCCUUGAUUGUGAAAAAAACAACAACCAUCAACACCCCAAGGAAUUGCAAGUGGUAGCAUCCUCUACAUUUUAAAUGGACCAAGGGAAAAGCUAAUAAACUGACCAAAAUUAAACACCAUCCAGGCAUGCACUUGGGUCAAAAGAGGGAGAGUAAUAACCCUUGAGAAAACAAUCUCCACCAAGAUUGAGGCACAAAUUGAAACAACCACAGCACAAAGGCCAUUGCAACUAGGUGUCUUGCCACAAUGGAUUGCUCAAAACUUGAGAUAGUGACUGUAGCAAAAGGAAGACUAGGGUCUAGACAACAAGCUAAGGUUGACCUGUGAGGGCAGUAUACCAGUGGAAACAUGAGCAGCCCAAACUGACGUCAAAUUGCUACUUUCAGCAAAAACUAAACCUGAACCAGUCAGAUGGCAGGGGAUGAAAGUUUGAAAGACAAAAGUGGAGGAUAGCCAUCCAAGAAAGACCUUCAUCUGCAUCUGUCGUGAAGCUAUAAAAUUAAAAGGCAUGUCCUCUAUCUCAAGAACUCUUUUCUAACCCCACCACUGUACGAGCUAGUAAUAAAGUGUCCAAGAUCCUCCCAGCCAGAAUGAAGUGAUCCAGAGGACAUAACCUACAAGACCAAAAAAUCUUACUUCAACACAUUUCUUUUCUUUUUCCUGGUUGAUUCCCUCUUCACAUGUACUCCAACUCCCUCUUUCGCACUCUCGUCACACAUUCCAAAAUCUAAGACUAAGAGUAUAAUAAAUUUACGAUAUUUUUUUUAGAGGGCGGAGACUGUUAAAGUUAUUUCCUAAAAAUUUAGGUUCAAUCUUAUAAUGUGAUUACUCCAGCUAAAAUUUUAUUCAAAAAUUAGAGGCAUAAUUAAAUGUAUAUCUUAUGCACGUUUAUCAUACAUCAUGAAGCAAGAAAUUUUCGAAGAUAAUCUUUAGUUUUUCAGAAAUUGAACAUAUUACACUCUACAAAAACUCUUUGCUCUUCUAAAAAAAAAAAAAAACUCUUUGCUCUUAAUAAACAAUCAAUGACAUUGACAGUAAAUCUAAGCAACCUCAAGAUCUCAUUAAAUCCACUAAUCCUCUACGUUAGCUAUAUAUUAAACUUUACGAAUUUACCAUAAAAUGUUGGCUUGAAAUUCAGCUUCUCAUUAGAAACCCUAAAAAUUUGAAAUUUAAGUUCAUAAUCGAUACGGUUAGCUUCCUCCAGUUUUAUCAGAAACCCCAAAAAAAUAUUGCAUGUAUGGAAGGAGACUGAGAACUUACUUAGAGAGUCGAAGGGUUCAUCGGCGACACGUAAGCACUGGUUGAGUGUAACGGGGCACUUGGAGAAUUCAAAACCCUAACCCUAGAAUUUGGAGGGAAAAGAGGAAUGGGGAAUCCAGAGAGAACGUAGGAGCCAGCGGUUGAGAUCGAGGCAACACCGGAUUGGAUAGAAUCCGGGGAUCGAAAUUGAUUACCUUAUGCAUUAGAUGAAGAAUGCCCGGGCUCUCAAUAAACAAGGAUAUGAUUACGACGUCGUUUCGGAGAUGGAGAGAUAUGCGAAGCUGUGACUGGCCACUUGCCAGGUGGUUCCCCGGACGGACUCUAAGAUUGAUGGAAGAAGGAAAAAGAUUAAAGUGACGACGCAUCCCCACGAGCGAACGGUGCGCUUUGUUUCGAUGUCCAAACUCCAAUGUACAAUUCUAGUAUGGACGACCUUCCAACACCGCCUCAAUGAAAUUC